Non-coding RNA from Periophthalmus magnuspinnatus, 82 nucleotides. Lineage: Eukaryota; Metazoa; Chordata; Actinopteri; Gobiiformes; Gobiidae. The record is from the annotation of a RefSeq genome assembly.
GGCAGUGUGGCCAAGUGGUCUAAGGCGCUGGAUUAAGGCUCCAGUCUCCUCAGAGGUGUGGGUUUCAAUCCCACCACUGCCA